CCUACGGGACGCUGCAGUAGGGAAUCUUUCACAAUGGGCGAAAGCCUGAUGGAGCAACGCCGCGUGCAGGAUGAAGGCCUUCGGGUUGUAAACUGCUUUUAUAAGCGAGAAAUAUGAUGGUAACUUAUGAAUAAGGAUCGGCUAACUACGUGCCAGCAGCCGCGGUCAUACGUAGGAUCCGAGCAUUAUCCGGGGUGACUGGGUGUAAAGAGUUGCGUAGGUGGCAUAAUAAGUAGCUAGUGAAAUCUGGUGGCUCAACCAUUCAGACUAUUAGGUAAACUGUUAAGCUCGAGACCGUUAGGGGUAACUGGAAUUUCUAGUGUAGGAGUGAAAUCCGUAGAUAUUAGAAGGAACACCAAUAGCGUAGGCAGGUUGCUGGGACGGUUCUGACACUAAGGCACGAAAGCGUAGGGAGCAAACGGGAUUAGAUACCCUUGUAGUC
RNAcentral lists this ribosomal RNA (442 nucleotides) under uncultured bacterium. RNAcentral's name for it is "partial 16S ribosomal RNA". It matches the Rfam family "Bacterial small subunit ribosomal RNA", at positions 338 to 795 of the family's 1533-position model. The record is from RNAcentral.